Molecule: long non-coding RNA, 800 nt
Organism: Temnothorax curvispinosus
Lineage: Eukaryota; Metazoa; Arthropoda; Insecta; Hymenoptera; Formicidae
Exons: 3
Source: RefSeq, a predicted model, not a curated record
UGGAAAAUGAUAUGCCAACUUCACAGACACCAUCGAAAUAAACUUGAUGAAUGUCGACAAAUUGGACUUAUACAAAAGAAACAAAAGAAAUUGGCGAGGACAUUGAUGAAUUAGAUAUUGAUUCAAGCAUUAAUCCUGAAGCUAAGCGUGUUUGCAAAAACCACCUGCAGUGGUUACGAUACAAUACAGCACCUUGGUCGUCUGUCAAAGAACAUUGGAAUGGAUCUCGUGAAUUAAGACAAAGUUUCAUAAAACAAUAUGAAGGAAGCGUUUUUGAUAUUUUUAAUAAAUAUCCAGUACUCAAACAGGAAUUCGGUUACAUGCUUAUACGCAACAAUUUUUUUUUAAUUUGUAUUAUAAUGUUUCUUAUUUCAGUUGGAUAUUGAUUACGAUGCUUUAAUCGAUGAAAAAUCAAACAUUUACAAUGAGUUGCCCGAUUUGUCUAAGAAAUUGAAACAUUACUGGAAAAUCGAGUCAUAAAAGAUAAAAUCUUUGCUAAGCAACUGGAAGAAAUCCAACUAUACAAAGAAGAUGAUGUACAAAACGUAGAGAUGCUGCAUUGCUUUUUUUAACCCUUAAAUGCCACACCUCUCAAGAAUCUCGUAAGUUCACUGAGGGGUCUAAAAGACCCCAGCAUGAAAAAUGUCUCCUUACUCAUUGAUUUUUUUAUCUUUAGUUAUGACAAUUUUUUUCAAUGUUGUUCAAGGUCUAGAGAAGAGUAUAAAAUGCUAAUAAUAUUGUUCAAAUUUCAAUUUUGACAUAGUAUAAAAAAUUAAAUAAACUGAGUACUGCUAAGUGUA